UGCUUAACACAUGCAAGUCGAACGGAAAGAGAUGAAAGAGCUUGCUCUUUUAUUAAUUUCAGUGGCAAACGGGUGAGUAACACGUAAACAACCUGCCUUAAGGAUGGGGAUAACAGACGGAAACGACUGCUAAUACCGAAUACGUUCUAAGCAUCGCAUGGUGCAUAGAAGAAAGGGUGGCCUCUACAAGAAAGCUAUCGCCUUAAGAGGGGUUUGCGACUGAUUAGGUAGUUGGUGAGGUAACGGCUCACCAAGCCGACGAUCAGUAGCCGGUCUGAGAGGAUGAACGGCCACACUGGAACUGAGACACGGUCCAGACUCCUACGGGAGGCAGCAGUGGGGAAUCUUCCGCAAUGGACGAAAGUCUGACGGAGCAACGCCGCGUGAACGAAGAAGGUCUUCGGAUUGUAAAGUUCUGUGAUUCGGGACGAAAGGGUUUGUGGUGAAUAAUCAUAGACAUUGACGGUACCGAAAAAGCAAGCCACGGCUAACUACGUGCCAGCAGCCGCGGUAAUACGUAGGUGGCAAGCGUUGUCCGGAAUUAUUGGGCGUAAAGCGCGCGCAGGCGGUUUCUUAAGUCCAUCUUAAAAGCGUGGGGCUCAACCCCAUGAGGGGAUGGAAACUGGGAAGCUGGAGUAUCGGAGAGGAAAGUGGAAUUCCUAGUGUAGCGGUGAAAUGCGUAGAGAUUAGGAAGAACACCGGUGGCGAAGGCGACUUUCUAGACGAAAACUGACGCUGAGGCGCGAAAGCGUGGGGAGCAAACAGG
Molecule: ribosomal RNA, 766 nt
Filed under: uncultured Peptococcaceae bacterium
Lineage: Bacteria; Bacillati; Bacillota; Clostridia; Eubacteriales; Peptococcaceae
Description: bacterial SSU rRNA
Rfam family: Bacterial small subunit ribosomal RNA
Source: RNAcentral